AGUGUAUAAUUGAUGGAGUUAGUGGUGUAGUAGGAU
This 36-nucleotide non-coding RNA is filed under the name Trypanosoma brucei brucei. The record is from RNAcentral. Lineage: Eukaryota; Euglenozoa; Kinetoplastea; Trypanosomatida; Trypanosomatidae.